RNAcentral lists this ribosomal RNA (79 nucleotides) under Inocybe pileosulcata. RNAcentral describes it as "partial 5.8S ribosomal RNA". It matches the Rfam family "5.8S ribosomal RNA", at positions 79 to 154 of the family's 154-position model. From Rfam's summary of the family: 5.8S ribosomal RNA (5.8S rRNA) is a component of the large subunit of the eukaryotic ribosome. It is transcribed by RNA polymerase I as part of the 45S precursor that also contains 18S and 28S rRNA. Lineage: Eukaryota; Fungi; Basidiomycota; Agaricomycetes; Agaricales; Inocybaceae. The record is from RNAcentral.
AUUCAGUGAAUCAUCGAAUCUUUGAACGCAUCUUGCGCUCCUUGGUAUUCCGAGGAGCAUGCCUGUUUGAGUGUCAUUA